GACGAACGCUGGCGGCGUGCCUAAUACAUGCAAGUCGAGCGGACCGGAUUGGGGCUUGCCUUGAUUCGGUCAGCGGCGGACGGGUGAGUAACACGUGGGCAACCUGCCCGCAAGACCGGGAUAACUCCGGGAAACCGGAGCUAAUACCGGAUAACACCGAAGACCGCAUGGUCUUCGGUUGAAAGGCGGCCUUUGGGCUGUCACUUGCGGAUGGGCCCGCGGCGCAUUAGCUAGUUGGGGAGGUAACGGCUCACCAAGGCGACGAUGCGUAGCCGGCCUGCGAGGGUGACCGGCCACACUGGGACUGAGACACGGCCCAGACUCCUACGGGAGGCAGCAGUAGGGAAUCUUCCGCAAUGGGCGAAAGCCUGACGGAGCGACGCCGCGUGAGCGAAGAAGGCCUUCGGGUCGUAAAGCUCUGUUGUGAGGGACGAAGGAGCGCUGUUCGAAGAGGGCGGCGCGGUGACGGUACCUCACGAGAAAGCCCCGGCUAACUACGUGCCAGCCGCCGCAGUAA
RNAcentral lists this ribosomal RNA (517 nucleotides) under uncultured bacterium. RNAcentral's name for it is "partial 16S ribosomal RNA". It matches the Rfam family "Bacterial small subunit ribosomal RNA", at positions 28 to 523 of the family's 1533-position model. The record is from RNAcentral.